This 30-nucleotide non-coding RNA is filed under the name Mus musculus (house mouse). The record is from RNAcentral. Lineage: Eukaryota; Metazoa; Chordata; Mammalia; Rodentia; Muridae.
UCCUAUCUUGCCCACCUAAUUCUCGUUUGG